RNAcentral lists this ribosomal RNA (238 nucleotides) under uncultured bacterium. RNAcentral describes it as "partial 16S ribosomal RNA". It matches the Rfam family "Bacterial small subunit ribosomal RNA", at positions 528 to 779 of the family's 1533-position model. The record is from RNAcentral.
CGAGGUGCAGCGUUACUCGGAUUACUGGCGUAGCGUGCGUAGGUGGUUGUAAGUCUGAUGUGAAGCCCUGGCUCAACCUGGAAUGGCAUUGGAUACUGGCAGGCUAGAGUGCGGUAGAGGUAGUGGAAUUCCCGGUGUAGCAGUGAAUGCGUAGAGAUCGGGAGGAACAUCUGUGGCGAAGGCGACUACCUGGACCAGCACUGACACUGAGGCACGAAGCGUGGGAGCAAACAGGAUU